GAAAUUAAAUAUAGAUAGCCGUAGACAGUGGGUUUUGAGCUAGAAUUAGCUCAAAUUAAAGAUCCUACCGAGGUGAAAAAGAUAAAUUUUUCAAUGUCUGCGCUAUUUACGCAGAUUUUUUAAUUAAUAA
Candidatus Komeilibacteria bacterium is the source of this 130-nucleotide non-coding RNA. The record is from Rfam. Lineage: Bacteria; Candidatus Komeiliibacteriota.